GCAGUCGAGCGGACCGACGGGAGCUUGCUCCCUUAGGUCAGCGGCGGACGGGUGAGUAACACGUGGGUAACCUGCCUGUAAGACUGGGAUAACUCCGGGAAACCGGGGCUAAUACCGGAUGCUUGAUUGAACCGCAUGGUUCAAUCAUAAAAGGUGGCUUUUAGCUACCACUUACAGAUGGACCCGCGGCGCAUUAGCUAGUUGGUGAGGUAACGGCUCACCAAGGCGACGAUGCGUAGCCGACCUGAGAGGGUGAUCGGCCACACUGGGACUGAGACACGGCCCAGACUCCUACGGGAGGCAGCAGUAGGGAAUCUUCCGCAAUGGACGAAAGUCUGACGGAGCAACGCCGCGUGAGUGAUGAAGGUUUUCGGAUCGUAAAACUCUGUUGUUAGGGAAGAACAAGUACCGUUCGAAUAGGGCGGCACCUUGACGGUACCUAACCAGAAAGCCACGGCUAACUACGUGCCAGCAGCCGCGGUAAUACGUAGGUGGCAAGCGUUGUCCGGAAUUAUUGGGCGUAAAGCGCGCGCAGGCGGUUUCUUAAGUCUGAUGUGAAAGCCCCCGGCUCAACCGGGGAGGGUCAUUGGAAACUGGGGAACUUGAGUGCAGAAGAGGAGAGUGGAAUUCCACGUGUAGCGGUGAAAUGCGUAGAGAUGUGGAGGAACACCAGUGGCGAAGGCGACUCUCUGGUCUGUAACUGACGCUGAGGCGCGAAAGCGUGGGGAGCGAACAGGAUUAGAUACCCUGGUAGUCCACGCCGUAAACGAUGAGUGCUAAGUGUUAGAGGGUUUCCGCCCUUUAGUGCUGCAGCAAACGCAUUAAGCACUCCGCCUGGGGAGUACGGUCGCAAGACUG
This 858-nucleotide ribosomal RNA is filed under the name Bacillus paralicheniformis. RNAcentral's name for it is "bacterial SSU rRNA". It matches the Rfam family "Bacterial small subunit ribosomal RNA", at positions 57 to 896 of the family's 1533-position model. The record is from RNAcentral. Lineage: Bacteria; Bacillati; Bacillota; Bacilli; Caryophanales; Bacillaceae.